GACAGAGGGUGCAAACGUUGCUCGGAAUUACUGGGCGUAAAGCGCGUGUAGGCGGUCACGCGAGUCGGGUGUGAAAGCCCAGGGCUCAACCCUGGAAGGGCACUCGAUACUACGUGGCUUGAGUCCUGUAGAGGAGGGCGGAAUUCCCGGUGUAGAGGUGAAAUUCGUAGAUAUCGGGAGGAACACCAGUGGCGAAGGCGGCCCUCUGGACAGGAACUGACGCUGAGACGCGAAAGCGUGGGUAGCAAACAGG
RNAcentral lists this ribosomal RNA (253 nucleotides) under uncultured bacterium. RNAcentral describes it as "partial 16S ribosomal RNA". It matches the Rfam family "Bacterial small subunit ribosomal RNA", at positions 524 to 776 of the family's 1533-position model. The record is from RNAcentral.